This 497-nucleotide ribosomal RNA is filed under the name uncultured bacterium. Its description in RNAcentral is "partial 16S ribosomal RNA". It matches the Rfam family "Bacterial small subunit ribosomal RNA", at positions 29 to 523 of the family's 1533-position model. The record is from RNAcentral.
UUGAACGCUGGCGGCAGGCCUAACACAUGCAAGUCGAGCGGCAGCGCGGGGCAACCUGGCGGCGAGCGGCGGACGGGUGAGUAACGCGUAGGAAUCUACCCAGUAGCGGGGGAUAGCCCGGGGAAACUCGGAUUAAUACCGCAUACGCCAUAAGGGGGAAAGUAGGGGAUCGUAAGACCUUGCCAUAUUGGAAGAGCCGGCGUUGGAUUAGCUAGUUGGUAGGGUAAAGGCCUACCAAGGCGACGAUCCAUAACUGGUCUGAGAGGAUGAUCAGUCACACCGGAACUGAGACACGGUCCGGACUCCUACGGGAGGCAGCAGUGGGGAAUAUUGGACAAUGGGGGCAACCCUGAUCCAGCCAUGCCGCGUGUGUGAAGAAGGCCUUCGGGUUGUAAAGCACUUUAAGUGGGGAGGAAGGGGUGAUUGCUAAUAACAAUCAUCAUUGACGCUACCCACAGAAUAAGCACCGGCUAACUCUGUGCCAGCCGCCGCGGUAA